AGUGAACGCUGGCGGUAGGCCUAACACAUGCAAGUCGAACGGCAGCACGGUAAGAGCUUGCUCUUACGGGUGGCGAGUGGCGGACGGGUGAGGAAUACAUCGGAAUCUACUUUUUCGUGGGGGAUAACGUAGGGAAACUUACGCUAAUACCGCAUACGACCUACGGGUGAAAGCAGGGGAUCUUCGGACCUUGCGCGAUUGAAUGAGCCGAUGUCGGAUUAGCUAGUUGGCGGGGUAAAGGCCCACCAAGGCGACGAUCCGUAGCUGGUCUGAGAGGAUAAUCAGCCACACUGGAACUGAGACACGGUCCAGACUCCUACGGGAGGCAGCAGUGGGGAAUAUUGGACAAUGGGCGCAAGCCUGAUCCAGCCAUACCGCGUGGGUGAAGAAGGCCUUCGGGUUGUAAAGCCCUUUUGUUGGGAAAGAAAAGCAGCAGGUUAAUACCCCGCUGUUCUGACGGUACCCAAAGAAUAAGCACCGGCUAACUUCGUG
RNAcentral lists this ribosomal RNA (492 nucleotides) under uncultured bacterium. Its description in RNAcentral is "partial 16S ribosomal RNA". It matches the Rfam family "Bacterial small subunit ribosomal RNA", at positions 29 to 507 of the family's 1533-position model. The record is from RNAcentral.